AGAAAAGCUUGACUAGUAGCUUUGACUUCAUUUUUGGUGCCCUUUCACUCACCUUAGAACUUUGAACUUGGAAUACUUUAGGCUCCUCCCACUCUCCUCUUCAAAACCCUUCAAGGAUCUAGCCUAACUCCUAGUUUUGCUUUGGUAUCUAGAGAUUCAAUUCUCUAGUGAGGUACAUGACUCAGGAUUUGAAGAUUCCAUUGCUCCUUGGAUGGCUUACAGUUUCUAUGUUUUUAUUUUAUGCAAGUGUUAGCAUAAGAUGCCUCUUUGUAGCCCUAUUUGUUUAAACUUGUAUUCGUUGAUUCGUAUAUGUAAAGUGUACGUAAGUGCACUCUUUUCAAUGUAUUUAACAUGUAUGAGAUGAGACCGGAGGCCAAUGACAUGUAUCUCGUUUUCUAUGCACUUUUGUUUUCAAAGUUUA
Long non-coding RNA from Cornus florida, 421 nucleotides. RefSeq lists it as uncharacterized. The transcript is spliced from 2 exons. The record is from RefSeq and is a predicted model, not a curated record. NCBI's taxonomy places the organism in Eukaryota, Viridiplantae, Streptophyta, Magnoliopsida, Cornales, Cornaceae.